Pelobates cultripes (western spadefoot toad) is the source of this 233-nucleotide non-coding RNA. NCBI's taxonomy places the organism in Eukaryota, Metazoa, Chordata, Amphibia, Anura, Pelobatidae. The record is from the annotation of a GenBank genome assembly.
AUGUAAAUCUCCUCAGAAAGCUCAUAAUGAUCAGAGAUUUAGAACAACCUUUGUUAAUUACAUGGCAGGUGGCUAAAUUGUCUGAAAAACAUCUCACCGCCUGACCUGACCAAGCUGUUCCCCAUGCUACUGCAGCAGCUACGAUAGGAUAGAGGUCAAACAGGGCAGAAGUGGUGGAAAAACCUGGUACAUUAUACACUUCUCUAGGCCAGACCCCCCAAAGCCAAUUAUCA